This 253-nucleotide ribosomal RNA is filed under the name uncultured bacterium. RNAcentral describes it as "partial 16S ribosomal RNA". It matches the Rfam family "Bacterial small subunit ribosomal RNA", at positions 524 to 776 of the family's 1533-position model. The record is from RNAcentral.
UACAGAGGGUGCAAGCGUUAAUCGGAAUUACUGGGCGUAAAGCGUGCGUAGACGGUUAUGCAAGUCGGAUGUGAAAGCCCCGGGCUCAACCUGGGAAUGGCAUUCGAAACUGCAUAGCUAGGGUGCGGAAGAGGGAAGCGGAAUUUCGGGUGUAGCGGUGAAAUGCGUAGAUAUCCGGAGGAAUACCAGUGGCGAAGGCGGCACGCUGGGCCAUAACUGACGCUAAGACGCGAAAGCAUGGGUAGCGAACGGG